AGGCGUUUCUCCUUCAAGAGGCCAGGAUGGGUUUGGUGGAAAUCCCUCUGGAUCGUGCAGGGUGACUGGAAUGAAUGCGGACCCCUGAGUAUUGAAGACCGUGUUUGUAGGAUGCGACUCGACUUCCCUAGUGUGAGCCCCCAGCUGCUACUCCUGCCUGUCAAUCAGUAGCCUGAAUCCUGGCCGAACGCUGGAAUUGCCUGAUGAGCUUUUCAAAUACACCGGCUCCCAGACCGCACCUCCGGAGCGUCUGAUUUAAUUGGUCUGGGGUGGGAACCCAGCGUCGGAUUCUUUAAAACGUUCGCCCGUAGCCAGGGUUCCGAAGCCCUGCUUUAGAUCCACCUGGCUUCACACAGCAAGCGGAGGGACUCGGCUCUGUCAUCCCCUGCUCAGAACCCCAGGCUGCUUCCCCAGGCCUUUUCGGAGUCCAGGGCGAGGUCCCUCCGAGUGCCCGGAUGCUAGCCUGCUCUGGAGUCUUGUUUUUUCCCUUCUCCUCCGACAGGGAGCGGCCGCCAGCAGGAUUGGCGGCUUGUCUUUCCUGAGAACAGCGCGCCUGUUCACACCUCCAUAACUUUGCACACUCUGAUCUUGCAUCUGGAAUGCCCUUUCUCCCCAAGUCUGCAUGCAGGCUGCAAGACCCCCGCCCUCCUCCACCCCAUGUCUUCACCAGUAACUUCUACUCUUCAGCACCCAGGUCGUCAGAAGGCUGGACUGCAGCUCCGCUGGAAGUGCCUUAUUUGUCCUUGUGUAGUUACAAACGUGAGUUGGAGACAACAAGAAAAUGAAGAGCUUGGGAAGAAGGAAGCAGGUCAUGUGAUAGUGGCCAAGGCAGAAAUUCCAGUGUGGUGAGGCGUAGGAAGAGGGGAAAUCAAGGAUGGACGUCCCCAACCCAUUUGGGAACCUCAUCUGCACAUCUUGAAUUGAGAGGGUUGGAGCAGAUGUCAGACAACUGCAAGUGCUGUGGAGGACACGAUGUUUCCGCCUUCACUGUGGCUUCCAGGAAACCGUAAAUUCAACCCUCAGCAGCAGCAAUCCGUCGAUCUCAGGUUCCCAGUGACAACUGCUGUGCUCUUUUCCAGAUUUAUCCCUGAUUGUCUUUUUUUGGCAUCAUGUUAUGCUUAAAAACACCAGAUGUGUUUGGGAAUAGGGACCCAACCAGCCUGUGGGAGUUGCUGGAGGUCAUGUUUUAAACAGGUUGGGAUAUUUCAGUUAUUUAUUCAAAAUUUCAAUAAGACCCUUCAACUUAACAACUGUGUUCAACAAUGUCUAGCACAGUCCUUUAUUACCCUGCAGAAUCAGAGAUUCUAGAACAGAAAAGAACCUUCAAGAUCAUCUUUUAUAGCAUGUAAAAGGCAUCAGCCUCACAAUCAGACACGCCGGGUUUCGAAUGCUGGCUUUGCCAUAUCAUAGCCAGGUAACCUUAAGAAAAAUUCUAAAAUGGCUUGAACCUUAGUUUCCUCAUCUGUGAAACAGUCACAGUGACAUCUAAGUCACAGGGUUGUUUACAAUAGUGAUAAUUUGUGAAAGCACUGAGCGUGGUAGCUGGUGCACAGAAGCUGCACGAAAUGUGGUAGUUACUGUAUUUAACUAUGAGGGAAUAGAAGAGGCAAUGGGGGAAUUUGAAAAGAAUAUUAAAUAAAUUAUUGGAUUAAAAUGUAAAUACCCCAUUGUGAGGGACACACACAUCUACCUAUUUUAAAGCCUUAACAAAUUCACGUGUUGAUUUUUUAGUUUAUUUAACGGGACAGAACGCAAGGAAGGACCUUGAGUUUUCAGAAGGCAUAACAUGGGGAUUAUGGGUUCUUUAAAUGCGAGACAAGGUGGGAAACAAAGUUUGAAAAGAGCCUAAAUGGAAGACAGAAGGAUGCUGGGGAUACAUUUCAUCCACCAUAGUUACUUGAUUCAAAGAUUUAUUUUCCUAAUGCUUUCUUCUGGUAAUUCCACCAUCCAGAAAGGUUGAAUUUUAUAGUGAACACUCAUAUACCAACUACUUAGUUCAGAAUUAUAUUUUAUUCUGCUUGCUUUAUCACAUAUCCAUCCAUCUAUCAUCUCUUUAUGCAUCCUUCCUUUCUUCCUUCCAUCCACCCAUCCAUCCAUCCAUCCAUCCAUCCAGCGUAUAUUCUUGAUACAUUUCAAAAUCAGUUGCAGACAUCAGCAUGCCUAUCAUUAGAGUUCAAUAUUUGUUUACAGUUCUCUUUUUCAUGUAAAAUUUACAUACAAUGAAAUGCACAAUUCUUAAGUGAGCAUUGCAUGAGUUCUUGCAAAUAAAUACAUUUGCGUGACCCAAGCACCUAUCAAGACAUAGGACAUUACUGUCACCCCAGAAAGUUGCCUGGAAUCUGUUCCCUGUCAAUGUCCACUCCCUUCUCCUCCAGAGGCAAUAACUUCUCUGAUUUUUUCCACCGUAGCUUAAUUUUUCCUAUUCUUGUUUCAUAUAAAUGGAAUUAUAUCCUACCUACUCUUUUGUGUUUGACUUAUUUCGCUUAGCAUGAUGUCUGUGAGCUUCAUCUUUAUUGUUGCGUGUCUCCGUUUCUGUUGCUUAUUGACUGGCACUCCAUUGAAUAAAGAUACUACAGUUGGUCCAUU
This 2586-nucleotide long non-coding RNA is filed under the name Equus caballus (horse). RNAcentral describes it as "lncRNA (ENSECAG00000034614.3)". The record is from RNAcentral. Lineage: Eukaryota; Metazoa; Chordata; Mammalia; Perissodactyla; Equidae.